UUAACUAUUAAAGAUUAAACUCGGAAAACACAAAAUAUGAAUUUUUUGGUCCUCUGGCAAGCACGAACCAGCCGAAGCCGGUGGUCAGAAGACGGGCCUGCCAAAGCAACAAGGUAUUUGUAUACAAGGGUGGGAGAUCUACCCCAAGGGGCAAGUUCUCUGUAAUGAUCCUUCCGCAGGUUCACCUACGGAAA
Molecule: unclassified non-coding RNA, 194 nt
Filed under: uncultured fungus
Lineage: Eukaryota; Fungi
Description: sequence contains ITS1
Source: RNAcentral